Molecule: unclassified non-coding RNA, 150 nt
Filed under: uncultured Dothideomycetes
Lineage: Eukaryota; Fungi; Ascomycota; Dothideomycetes
Description: sequence contains ITS2
Source: RNAcentral
CUGCCAAUCGAGCCCUGGCUCGGUCUUGGGCGUCUGCGUCAGCCGCACGCCUCGAAGUCUCCGGCUCCAACCAUCCAUCCCCGAGCGCUGUGGCACUCUGUUUCCGCUCGCGGCGACUGGGAGGUGGGCUGCCGUUAAACAUUCUUAUCU